UUUGUUCUCUAAAUAAGGACUUGUAUGAAUGGCCACACGAGGGUUUGACUGUCUCUUACUUCCAAUCCGUGAAAUUGACCUCCCCGUGAAGAGGCGGGGAUGUAACAAUAAGACGAGAAGACCCUAUGGAGCUUCAAUUAACUGACCCAAAGAGAUCACACAACCCAACCGACAGGGACAACAAACCUCUACAUGGGUCAGCAAUUUAGGUUGGGGCGACCUCGGAGAAUAAAAUAACCUCCGAAUGAUUUAAAUCUAGACUAACCAGUCGAAAGUAUCACAUCACUUAUUGAUCCAAGACACUUGAUCAACGGAACAAGUUACCCUAGGGAUAACAGCGCAAUCCUAUUCCAGAGUCCAUAUCGACAAUAGGG
RNAcentral lists this ribosomal RNA (374 nucleotides) under Galidia elegans (ring-tailed mongoose). Its description in RNAcentral is "partial 16S ribosomal RNA". It matches the Rfam family "Bacterial large subunit ribosomal RNA", at positions 1968 to 2516 of the family's 2925-position model. The record is from RNAcentral. Lineage: Eukaryota; Metazoa; Chordata; Mammalia; Carnivora; Eupleridae.